GGAGAGGUGGCUGAGUGGCUUAAAGCAGCGGUUUGCUAAACCGUCGUAGUACCUAAAGUGCUACCGGGGGUUCGACUCCCCCCCUCUCCGCCA
RNAcentral lists this transfer RNA (93 nucleotides) under Verrucomicrobiota bacterium. RNAcentral's name for it is "Verrucomicrobia bacterium (microbial mat metagenome) tRNA-Ser". It matches the Rfam family "tRNA". Rfam says of the family: Transfer RNA (tRNA) molecules are approximately 80 nucleotides in length. Lineage: Bacteria; Pseudomonadati; Verrucomicrobiota. The record is from RNAcentral.